Molecule: ribosomal RNA, 500 nt
Filed under: uncultured bacterium
Lineage: Bacteria
Description: bacterial SSU rRNA
Rfam family: Bacterial small subunit ribosomal RNA
Source: RNAcentral
GAUGAACGCUGGCGGCGUUCUUAACACAUGCAAGUCGAACGAAGCAUUUAUGAAGAAGCAGUUCGGUGUAGAUUGAUGACUGACGGAGUGGCGGACGGGUGAGUAACCCGUGGAUAACCUGCCUCAUACAGGGGGAUAACAGUUAGAAAUGACUGUUAAUACCGCAUAAGCGCACAGAAUAGCAUGAUUCAGUGUGAAAAACUCCGGUGGUUUGAGAUGGUUCCGAGUCUGAUGAGCUAGUUGGUGGGGUAACGGGCAACCAAGGCAACGAUCAGUAGCCGGCCUGAGAGGGCGACCGGCCACAUUGGGGCUGAGACACGGCCCAAACUACUACGGGAGGCAGCAGUGGGGAAUAUUGCACAAUGGGGGAAACCCUGAUGCAGCGACACCGCGUGAGCGAAGAAGUAUUUCGGUAUGUAAAGCUCUAUCAGCAGGGAAGAAAAUGACGGUACAUGACUAAGAAGCCCCGGCUAACUACGUGCCAGCCGCCGCCGUAACAC